GACGAACGCUGGCGGCGUGCUUAACACAUGCAAGUCGAACGGAAAGGCCCCUUCGGGGGUACACGAGUGGCGAACGGGUGAGUAACAUGUGAGCAAACUGCCCUUGACUCUGGAAUAACAGUUGGAAACAGCUGCUAAUACUGGAGAUUCAUCGUCUCCUUCCUGGGGGGGGGUGGAAAGCUCCGGCGGUCGGGGAUGGGGUCGCGGCCUAUCAGCUUGUUGGUGAGGGAAUGGCUCACCAAGGCUUCGCGGGGUAGCCGGCCUGCGAGGGGGCCCGGCCACACUGGGACUGCGAUACGGCCCAGACGCCUUCGGGAGGCAUCAGUGGGGGAUAUUGGCCAGUGGGCGCAAGCCUGCUGCAGCGACGCCGCGUGCGGGAUGACGGCCUUCGGGUUGUAAACCGCUUUCAGUAGGGACGAAGGGUGACUGACGGUAGCUACAGAAGAAGGACCGGCUAACUACGUG
RNAcentral lists this ribosomal RNA (465 nucleotides) under uncultured bacterium. Its description in RNAcentral is "partial 16S ribosomal RNA". It matches the Rfam family "Bacterial small subunit ribosomal RNA", at positions 28 to 507 of the family's 1533-position model. The record is from RNAcentral.